Non-coding RNA from Cinara cedri, 451 nucleotides. Lineage: Eukaryota; Metazoa; Arthropoda; Insecta; Hemiptera; Aphididae. The record is from the annotation of a GenBank genome assembly.
AAUGUGUUACGAAUUUGUGCAUUUUACCGUAGAGAUAUUUCUGUACGGGGCUGAGUGGAAGAUUCGUGAGGGGGGGUGGGGGUAGGCCGGGCGCUCUCGGCCCACCCCCCUCGACAGUUACGUUACACUCGUAGUUACAUGAAUUGAUAGCGGUUAUAAAUCGUCGUUCAAAUUGCGGUUAGACAAAUAAUUAUUACGAUAGUGGAUAUUAAUGUUGAUACUCGAUUGUAAUCUUGUCUGUAUUUUAUGUUUAGUGUUCGUUGUUCAAAAUUAACAUGAAAAAUUGUGCCCCCCCCCCCGAAAAAAAAACAACUCUAUAUCCGUCACCGACUACGGACAUGGUACGCGAACAUUUUUUCCGCGUUAAUAUUUGAUUUGAAUCUGUUAAUGUCAGCGGUCCCCAACCUAUGGUCCGCGAGACAUUUUGGUGGUCCACGAGGCCAUAAUACCC